GCAGCGCGGCCGACACAUGAUGUCACACCCAGGGGAGGAAAGCGAGGACCCCAGGGUUUGAAACCAGCUCCCCAGGAGAUGCAGCCAACACAGUACCAGCGUCUCGCCAGCUCAAUUGGCUGUAAACAAACUGAGCAACAACUCAUUCUCGGGCCCGAGAUUGGAGAUGGCUACAGUCUUCUCGCACAUUGCCAACCCAACAAGACUGGCUUCUGGAGAGUGUCAGGAGGGGGAGGAAUCCGGAGAAAAAAUGCUAAGUGCUGGAAUCUGUGAUAAAGUCAGUAGAAUGUGAAGCAUUUGGAAUCAAAACAUUUGCCAGAAUUAUCCUCUGAUCCCCUGGAGAAUUUUCUGUAUGGAUAUAACAGACUAGUAUGUAAUUCCUGCAGGAGCAAUUAUUAUUUUCAUCUUUAUAAUAUUUAUGGAAAGCUAUGCAUUCACAGCACUGAACUGAAAGCUCUCCAUUUGAAUGACACACAUAGCUAGUGUCUUUCACAGCCAUGCCAACUUUAAUUUGUAUACUAAGCAAAAGCAGGGAAGUUAGUGGCUUCCAAACACUGACCUUCAGUUGUCUGUAGGAGAGGGAAUAUUCAGAAUUUGUCCUACAGAUAAUGCGCACUGGGGGUGUUAUUGCCUUUAGUUUCUAGGUUGUUGCAUACAAAACAUUAAGGAAAAUUAUACUUUUGGAACCCAUUCUUUCUCUCUCUCUGGUACAUGUACAAACACACACACACACACACACACACACACACACAGAGAGAGAGAGAUAGAGAGAGAGAGCUUGGAGUAAAGUGAGGAUGCUAUUUUAGGAUCUGUAUUUUCAAAGAAUAGCACCUCUUAGUUAUAAGCUUGUUCUGCUUGCUGUCUGUAAGUGAGAGAGCAAGUAGAACAAACAUAUAAACAAGCCAUGGUGUAGGAAGUAGAAAAGAGAUGCUAUAGGUUUGGAAUAAUGAAUAAAACAUCACCCUUACUCUUAAUAGGCUUGCAUUCUAAUGAGAUGAGAGACUGAGACACCAGAAUAGUAGUGACCAUGUUCUCCAAAUCCAAAUUUGGGAAACAUAAUCUCAAAAAAAAGGGGUGUAUUUUGUGGGGACAACUGGGCCACAUGUUUGCAAUGUCAGGGGGUGGACAGGCCAUGCCUAGAACAGAGGCUGGAGGAAAGCCAGCCCUGGGGGAGGUGUAUGUAGCUGCUACCUAGCUUCAGAGAGGAAGGCUCACAAGCACACACUCUCCCCAACACUCCCCAGGUGCAUCAAGUUCAGCCCCUGCUCAAGUGCUGCCUUAGUGGUUGCUGUGACACGCUCCAGGUCAGCUACAUGCUCCCCUGCCACCUUUUUUUAAAUUGUAGAUAGACACAAUACCUUUAUUUUAUUUAUUUAUUUACUUACUUACUUAUUCAUUUUUUAAUGUGGUGCUGACGAUUAAACCCAGUGCCUCACACAUGCUAGGCAAGCACUCUACCACCGAGCCACUACCCCAGCCGCUACAUGCUUCCCUUUUGACCUGUCAUGGGAAUUUAUGAGCCAGCUGUCGGAGCUUAGCACUUGAAGAAAUGUCCCUGAUUGAGUUCAGUCGUGUGCAAGGAAGCGGCGAAGGUGAAGAGGCUCUGACAUUUUCAGAUGGCAUCAGAAGAUUAAGUUCUACCCUAAUUUUAACUUCUAAAAUAUGAAAUUGGGUAACUUGGAUUUUGCCUCAAAA
This is a long non-coding RNA of Ictidomys tridecemlineatus (thirteen-lined ground squirrel), 1695 nucleotides long. The record is from Ensembl. Lineage: Eukaryota; Metazoa; Chordata; Mammalia; Rodentia; Sciuridae.